RNAcentral lists this ribosomal RNA (473 nucleotides) under uncultured bacterium. Its description in RNAcentral is "partial 16S ribosomal RNA". It matches the Rfam family "Bacterial small subunit ribosomal RNA", at positions 28 to 506 of the family's 1533-position model. The record is from RNAcentral.
GAUGAACGCUAGCGGCGGGCCUAACACAUGCAAGUCGAGGGAGGAGCUUUCGGGCUUCGACCGGCGUCCGGUUGCGUAACGCGUAUACAAUCUGCCUUUCACUUAGGGAUAGCCCGAAGAAAUUUGGAUUAAUACCUAAUGGUAUCUAGGAGUGGCAUCACAUUUAUAUUAAAGCUGAGGCGGUGAAAGAUGAGUGUGCGUUCUAGUAGUUAGUUGGAGAGGUAACGGCUGCCCAAGGCGACGAUAGAUAGGGGUUGUGAGAGGGAUAUCCCCCGAACUGGAACGGAGAUACGGACCAUGAUCCUACGGGAAGAAGCAGUGGGGAAUAAUGGACGAUGGUCGGAAGACUGAUCCAGGCAUGCCGCGUGCAGAAAGACGGCCUUAGGGGUUGUAAACUGCUUUUGCAGGGGAAGAAUAAGGGCGACGAGUAGUUUGAUGACGGAACUGUGCGAAUAAGAAUCGGCUAAUACCGU